UACGUAGGGCGCAAGCGUUAUCCGGAAUUAUUGGGCGUAAAGAGCUCGUAGGCGGUUUGUCGCGUCUGCCGUGAAAGUCCGGGGCUCAACUCCGGAUCUGCGGUGGGUACGGGCAGACUAGAGUGCGGUAGGGGAGACUGGAAUUCCUGGUGUAGCGGUGAAAUGCGCAGAUAUCAGGAGGAACACCGGUGGCGAAGGCGGGUCUCUGGGCCGAUAUUGACGCUGAGGAGCGAAAGCGUGGGGAGCGAACAGG
Molecule: ribosomal RNA, 253 nt
Filed under: uncultured bacterium
Lineage: Bacteria
Description: partial 16S ribosomal RNA
Rfam family: Bacterial small subunit ribosomal RNA
Source: RNAcentral